AGGGGUGAAAGACUCAUGUGUGCCAUCCUGCAGGCAAGGUCACUGUCUCAGAGCCAUGGCCCAGCUGUAGGGUGAAGGGAGGAGGAUGGGAGCAUGACAGCCCUGUGAGCCCAGGCGGGAAGGCUGGCAGGUGCUGCAUGGCCUGGGCUACCUCCCAUAGUUCCCAGUGCAGCUGGGUGACAUCUACCCGAAGCUGGGAUAGUAGGUCCCUGAGGCGAGUGCCCAAGGUGAGGACUGGCCUGAUGGGUGGAGGGAACCUUGGAUGCUCCGAAGCACCCACUCCAGCCCAGCUCCCCCCCCGGUGUCUGGUGAUCAAUAUCACUACAGUGCCCAUAUCCCCACCUUGGCUCCGGUCCUUGGGAGUGCUGGGGUUCUGAGGCCCUUCACACAGGGCGGUACCCUCAGGGCCCAUCACAAGGUGCUGGGGCCGCUAAGGUUCAAGGUUCAGUGACCUCCA
This 457-nucleotide long non-coding RNA is filed under the name Homo sapiens (human). RNAcentral describes it as "HSALNT0054043". The record is from RNAcentral. Lineage: Eukaryota; Metazoa; Chordata; Mammalia; Primates; Hominidae.